This 433-nucleotide ribosomal RNA is filed under the name uncultured bacterium. RNAcentral's name for it is "partial 16S ribosomal RNA". It matches the Rfam family "Bacterial small subunit ribosomal RNA", at positions 29 to 507 of the family's 1533-position model. The record is from RNAcentral.
AACGAACGCUGGCGGCAUGCCUAACACAUGCAAGUCGAACGAGACCUUCGGGUCUAGUGGCGCACGGGUGCGUAACGCGUGGGAACCUGCCCUUAGGUUCGGAAUAACUCUCCGAAAGGGGUGCUAAUACCGGAUCAUGUCUUCGGACCAAAGAUUUAUCGCCUUUGGAUGGGCCCGCGUUGGAUUAGCUAGUUGGUAGGGUAAAAGCCUACCAAGGCGACGAUCCAUAGCUGGUCUGAGAGGAUGAUCAGCCACACUGGGACUGAGACACGGCCCAGACUCCUACGGGAGGCAGCAGUGGGUAAUAUUGGACAAUGGGCGAAAGCCUGAUCCAGCAAUGCCGCGUGAGUGAUGAAGGCCUUAGGGUUGUAAAGCUCUUUUACCCGGGAUGAUAAUGACAGUACCGAGAGAAUAAGCUCCGGCUAACUCCGUG